GUCGUUGUAGUAUAGUGAUAAGUGUUCCCGCCUGUCACCCCGGUGACCCGGGUUCGAUCCCCGGGCAACGGCA
Nicotiana attenuata is the source of this 73-nucleotide non-coding RNA. Lineage: Eukaryota; Viridiplantae; Streptophyta; Magnoliopsida; Solanales; Solanaceae. The record is from Rfam.